This 718-nucleotide ribosomal RNA is filed under the name uncultured bacterium. RNAcentral describes it as "bacterial SSU rRNA". It matches the Rfam family "Bacterial small subunit ribosomal RNA", at positions 49 to 752 of the family's 1533-position model. The record is from RNAcentral.
CUAUACAUGCAAGUAGAACGCUGAAGGAGGAGCUUGCUCUUCUGGAUGAGUUGCGAACGGGUGAGUAACGCGUAGGUAACCUGCCUGGUAGCGGGGGAUAACUAUUGGAAACGAUAGCUAAUACCGCAUAACAGUAGAUAUCGCAUGAUAGCUGCUUAAAAGGUGCAAUUGCACCACUACCAGAUGGACCUGCGUUGUAUUAGCUAGUUGGUGAGGUAACGGCUCACCAAGGCAACGAUACAUAGCCGACCUGAGAGGGUGAUCGGCCACACUGGGACUGAGACACGGCCCAGACUCCUACGGGAGGCAGCAGUAGGGAAUCUUCGGCAAUGGACGGAAGUCUGACCGAGCAACGCCGCGUGAGUGAAGAAGGUUUUCGGAUCGUAAAGCUCUGUUGUAAGAGAAGAACGAGUGUGAGAGUGGAAAGUUCACACUGUGACGGUAUCUUACCAGAAAGGGACGGCUAACUACGUGCCAGCAGCCGCGGUAAUACGUAGGUCCCGAGCGUUGUCCGGAUUUAUUGGGCGUAAAGCGAGCGCAGGCGGUUAGAUAAGUCUGAAGUUAAAGGCUGUGGCUUAACCAUAGUACGCUUUGGAAACUGUUUAACUUGAGUGCAAGAGGGGAGAGUGGAAUUCCAUGUGUAGCGGUGAAAUGCGUAGAUAUAUGGAGGAACACCGGUGGCGAAAGCGGCUCUCUGGCUUGUAACUGACGCUGAGGC